GACCCAAAUUUUCAAUCUUCAAAGACGAAUGUGUGUAUACAUAUAUUAUAAUGUGAUGAUAAAAUAUGUAUUAAUGCUCAUGAUCGUAUUCACAUGUGAGCAAGACGACAGAAAUUAAUAAACAUAUAUAACUUUAUAUAUAUCAGCAUCUAAGAAGAUAAAAACAGUAAUGGAUAUAAAAUGAAUAAUUAAAUGGAUUGUGUAUGAGUGAGACAGGCUUGGAGGAGUCCCCCGCGUGUUUGGAUAGACAUCAAAGGGGCAGAAGGCGCAGGGCAUUGGUUUCAUUCAGAUAGAGAAAACCUGGUUCCACCAAUCAGAAAAUCCCUCUGAAUUUUAUCUGUUUUUGCCUCCAUUUUCUUGAAAAUGUUUGAUGGGCUUUGGGUUUAUGACCCUUCUUCCACCUAAAUUCGUGAUCCAAAGUUUCUCUCUUUUCAUCUCUUGGAUUCCAUUCACUAAUUUAUAUAGGGGAACCGCAGACAAAAGCAAGUAUUACUCAAAUCUCCGUGGAAAGAGAUUGCGAAGGUGUUUGGAAAUGUAUGUUACAAUAUCAAUCUUAGGGGUUUGUGUGCUGCGGGUGUCCAACCAUACCGUAUGUGCCGUUUGAGAUCUUUGGAAACCGCAAACUACAUUGUGAAGAAUCUAAACUGCAUUAUGUGGUGCGGUACCGAUGGUUUUGAUACGGUUUGUUGAAUAACUAAAAAGAAAUAGUUUUACA
This is a non-coding RNA of Lactuca sativa (garden lettuce), 715 nucleotides long. NCBI's taxonomy places the organism in Eukaryota, Viridiplantae, Streptophyta, Magnoliopsida, Asterales, Asteraceae. The record is from RefSeq and is a predicted model, not a curated record.